Molecule: ribosomal RNA, 490 nt
Filed under: uncultured bacterium
Lineage: Bacteria
Description: partial 16S ribosomal RNA
Rfam family: Bacterial small subunit ribosomal RNA
Source: RNAcentral
AUUGAACGCUGGCGGCAGGCCUAACACAUGCAAGUCGAACGGUAACAGGAAGCAGCUUGCUGCUUUGCUGACGAGUGGCGGACGGGUGAGUAAUGUCUGGGAAACUGCCCGAUGGAGGGGGAUAACUACUGGAAACGGUAGCUAAUACCGCAUAACGUCGCAAGACCAAAGAGGGGGACCUUAGGGCCUCUUGCCAUCGGAUGUGCCCAGAUGGGAUUAGCUAGUAGGUGGGGUAACGGCUCACCUAGGCGACGAUCCCUAGCUGGUCUGAGAGGAUGACCAGCCACACUGGAACUGAGACACGGUCCAGACUCCUACGGGAGGCAGCAGUGGGGAAUAUUGCACAAUGGGCGCAAGCCUGAUGCAGCCAUGCCGCGUGUAUGAAGAAGGCCCUCGGGUUGUAAAGUACUUUCAGCGGGGAGGAAGGGAGUAAAGUUAAUACCUUUGCUCAUUGACGUUACCCGCAGAAGAAGCACCGGCUAACUCCGUG